This 74-nucleotide transfer RNA is filed under the name Cylindrospermum sp. NIES-4074. It matches the Rfam family "tRNA". From Rfam's summary of the family: Transfer RNA (tRNA) molecules are approximately 80 nucleotides in length. Their secondary structure includes four short double-helical elements and three loops (D, anti-codon, and T loops). Further hydrogen bonds mediate the characteristic L-shaped molecular structure. tRNAs have two regions of fundamental functional importance: the anti-codon, which is responsible for specific mRNA codon recognition, and the 3' end, to which the tRNAs corresponding amino acid is attached (by aminoacyl-tRNA synthetases). tRNAs cope with the degeneracy of the genetic code in two manners: having more than one tRNA (with a specific anti-codon) for a particular amino acid; and 'wobble' base-pairing, i.e. permitting non-standard base-pairing at the 3rd anti-codon position. The record is from Rfam by way of RNAcentral. Lineage: Bacteria; Bacillati; Cyanobacteriota; Cyanophyceae; Nostocales; Nostocaceae.
GCCCCUGUGACGUAAUUGGAAAACGUAGCCAGCUUAGACCUGGUUUUUUACAGGUUCGAGUCCUGUCAGGGGCA